UACGUAGGGUGCAAGCGUUAAUCGGAAUUACUGGGCGUAAAGCGUGCGCAGGCGGUUUUGUAAGUUUGUCGUGAAAGCCCCGGGCUCAACCUGGGAAUGGCGAUGAAGACUGCAAGGCUUGAAUCUGGCAGAGGGGGGUAGAAUUCCACGUGUAGCAGUGAAAUGCGUGGAGAUGUGGAGGAACACCGAUGGCGAAGGCAGCCCCCUGGGUCAAGAUUGACGCUCAUGCACGAAAGCGUGGGGAGCAAACAGG
This 253-nucleotide ribosomal RNA is filed under the name uncultured bacterium. RNAcentral's name for it is "partial 16S ribosomal RNA". It matches the Rfam family "Bacterial small subunit ribosomal RNA", at positions 524 to 776 of the family's 1533-position model. The record is from RNAcentral.